GCGAUGGCUCAUUAAAUCAGUUAUGGUUCCUUAGAUGGUGCACAGUUACUUGGAUAACUGUGGUAAUUCUAGAGCUAAUACAUGCAACUCGGUCCCGACCGGCGACGGAAGGGACGCUUUUAUUAGAUCAAAACCAAUCGGUCUUCGGGCCGUUUGCCUUGGUGACUCUGAAUAAAUUGUGGCAGAUCGCACGGCCUCCGAGCCGGCGACGCAUCUUUCAAAUGUCUGCCUUAUCAACUGUCGAUGGUAGGUUCUGCGCCUACCAUGGUUGUAACGGGUAACGGGGAAUCAGGGUUCGAUUCCGGAGAGGGAGCCUGAGAAACGGCUACCACAUCCAAGGAAGGCAGCAGGCGCGCAAAUUACCCACUCCCGGCACGGGGAGGUAGUGACGAAAAAUAACGAUACGGGACUCAUCCGAGGCCCCGUAAUCGGAAUGAGUACACUUUAAAUCCUUUAACGAGUAUCCAUUGGAGGGCAAGUCUGGUGCCAGCAGCCGCGGUAAUUCCAGCUCCAAUAGCGUAUAUUAAAGUUGUUGCGGUUAAAAAGCUCGUAGUCGGACUUGUGUCCCACGCUGCCGGUUCACCGCCCGUCGGUGUCUAACUGGCAUGCACGUGCGGACGUCCUGCCGGUGGCCCGAGCCGGCGCGGGUCUCGCACCCGUCGUCCGGGGAAGGCCUAUCAUACCCGUCGCGGUGCUCUUGACCGAGUGUCUCGAUGGGCCGGCACGUUUACUUUGAACAAAUUAGAGUGCUUAAAGCAGGCAGCAUCCGCCUGAAUACCGAGUGCAUGGAAUAAUGGAAUAGGACCUCGGUUCUAUUUUGUUGGUUUUCGGAAUCCCCGAGGUAAUGAUCAAUAGGACAGACGGGGGCAUUCGUAUUGCGACGUUGAAGGUGAAAUUCUUGGAUCGUCACAGGACGGACCGAAGCGAAAGCAUUUGCCAAGAAUGUUUUCUCUGAUCAAGAACGAAAGUUAGAGGUUCGAAGGCGAUCACAUACCGCCCUAGUUCUAACCAUAAACAAUGCCAGCCAGCAAUCCGCCAAAGUUCCUCCCAUGACUCCGCGGGCGGCUUCCGGGAAACCAAGCCUUUUGGGUUCCGGGGGAAGUAUGGUUGCAAAGCUGAAACUUAAACGAAUUGACCGAUGGGCAC
Molecule: ribosomal RNA, 1146 nt
Filed under: Pseudacanthops centralis
Lineage: Eukaryota; Metazoa; Arthropoda; Insecta; Mantodea; Acanthopidae
Description: SSU rRNA
Rfam family: Eukaryotic small subunit ribosomal RNA
Source: RNAcentral